AGUGAACGCUGGCGGUAGGCCUAACACAUGCCAGUCGAACGGCAGCACAGGAGAGCUUGCUCUCUAGGUGGCGAGUGGCGGACGGGUGAGGAAUACAUCGGAAUCUGCCCAGUCGUGGGGGAUAACGUAGGGAAACUUACGCUAAUACCGCAUACGACCUUCAGGUGAAAGAGGGGGAUCGCAAGACCUCUCGCGAUUGGAUGAGCCGAUGUCGGAUUAGCUAGUUAGCGGGGUAAUGGCCCACCAAGGCGACGAUCCGUAGCUGGUCUGAGAGGAUGAUCAGCCACACUGGAACUGAGACACGGUCCAGACUCCUACGGGAGGCAGCAGUGGGGAAUAUUGGACAAUGGGCGCAAGCCUGAUCCAGCCAUACCGCGUGGGUGAAGAAGGCCUUCGGGUUGUAAAGCCCUUUUGUUGGGAAAGAAAUCUUUCAGGCUAAUACCCUGGGAGGAUGACGGUACCCAAAGAAUAAGCACCGGCUAACUUCGUG
Molecule: ribosomal RNA, 490 nt
Filed under: uncultured bacterium
Lineage: Bacteria
Description: partial 16S ribosomal RNA
Rfam family: Bacterial small subunit ribosomal RNA
Source: RNAcentral